CCUACGGGAGGCAGCAGUAGGGAAUCUUCCACAAUGGGCGAAAGCCUGAUGGAGCAACGCCGCGUGGGUGAAGAAGGUCUUCGGAUCGUAAAACCCUGUUGUUAGAGAAGAAAGUGCGUGAGAGUAACUGUUCACGUUUCGACGGUAUCUAACCAGAAAGCCACGGCUAACUACGUGCCAGCAGCCGCGGUAAUACGUAGGUGGCAAGCGUUAUCCGGAUUUAUUGGGCGUAAAGGGAACGCAGGCGGUCCUUUAAGUCUGAUGUGAAAGCCUUCGGCUUAACCGGAGUAGUGCAUUGGAAACUGGGAGACGUGAGUGCAGAAGAGGAGGGUGGAACUCCAUGUGUAGCGGUGAAAUGCGUAGAUAUAUGGAAGAACACCAGUGGCGAAAGCGGCUCUCUGGUCUGUAACUGACGCUGAGGUUCGAAAGCGUGGGUAUCGAACAGGAUUAGAUACCCGGGUAGUC
This 465-nucleotide ribosomal RNA is filed under the name uncultured bacterium. Its description in RNAcentral is "partial 16S ribosomal RNA". It matches the Rfam family "Bacterial small subunit ribosomal RNA", at positions 338 to 795 of the family's 1533-position model. The record is from RNAcentral.